Molecule: long non-coding RNA, 3178 nt
Filed under: Pan troglodytes (chimpanzee)
Lineage: Eukaryota; Metazoa; Chordata; Mammalia; Primates; Hominidae
Description: lncRNA (ENSPTRG00000054491.1)
Source: RNAcentral
GUUUUUAUCUCAGGGCAAUAAUGGAACUAUCUUGUACACAGGAGACUUCAGAUUGGUGCAAGGAGAAGCUGCUAGAAUGGAGCUUCUGCACUCCGGGGGCAGGUACUGGGCCUCGUAUAGGUGGUUUUUUGCUUGUUUGUUUGUUUUGUGAAACGGAGUGUUGCUCUGUCACCCAGGCUGGAGGGCAGUGAUGCAAUCUUGGCUCACUGCAACCUCUGCCUCCAGAGUUCAAGUGAUUCUCCUGCCUCAGCCUCCCAAGUAGCUGGGAUAACAGGUGUGCACCACCACACUCAACUAAUUUUGUAUUUUUAGUAGAGAUGGGGUUUUGCCAUGUUCGCCAGGCUGGUCUUGAACUCCUGACCUCAGGUGAUCUGCCAGCCUUGGCCUCUCAAAUUGCUGAGAUUACAGGCAUGAGCCACUGUGCCUGGCCUGUUGUACAGUUCUUAUGUGUAUGACUGAAUAAAGUAUUAUUGUUCUGGCCAUAAACAGAACAAUAUUGUUCUGGCCAUAAACAGGUGUGGUGGCUCAAGCCUGUAAUCCCAGCAGUUUGGGAGGCCGAGGUGGGUGGAUCAUUUGAGGUCAGGAGUUCGAGACCAGAAUGGUCAACAUGGUGAAACCCUGUCUCUACUAAAAAAUACAAAAAUUAGCAAGGAGUGGUGAUGCACACCCGUGAUCCCGGAUACUUGGGAGGCUGAGGCAGGAGAAUUGCUUGAACCCGGGAGGUGGAGGAGGUGGCAGUGAGCAGACAUUGCACUUCAGCCUGGGCAACAGAGCAAAACUCCAUCUCAAAAAACAAAAAAAGUUACACAUAAUUUAUAUCACAUUGGAUGGCUAACAUCAAUUUUUUUCUUCUUUUCAGAGUCAAAGACAUCCAAAGUGUAUAUUUAGAUACUAUGUUGUGUGAUCCAAGAUUUUACCAAAUUCCAAGUCAGGAGGAGUGUUUACGUGGAGUCUUAGAGCUGGUUCAAAGCUGGAUCACUCAGAGCCUGUACCAUGUUGUGUGGCUGAACUGCAAAGCGGCUUAUGGCUAUGAAUAUUUGUUCACCAACCUUAGUGAAGAAUUAGGAGUCCAGACCUCCCAGUGCCAAGUGUAUAAGUGUGUCCAGAAUUGGUGGGUUCUUGGUCUCACUGACUUCAAGAAUGAAGCCGCGGACCAUCCUGGUGAGUGUUACAGUUCUUAAAGGUGGCGUGUCUGGAGUUUGUUCCUUCUGAUGUUCAGAUGUGUUCGAAGUUUCUUCCUUCUGGUGGGGUUCGUGGUCUCGCUGGCUCAGGAGUGAAGCUGCAGACCUUCACGGUGAGUGUUACAGCUCUUAAGGCUGCACGUCUGUAGUUGUUCAUUUCUCCCGGUGGGUUCAUGGUCUCGCUGGCUUCAGGAGUGAAGCUGCAGACCUUCUCAGUGAGUGUUACAGCUCAUAAAGGCAGUGUGGACGCAAAGAGUGAGCAGCAACAAGAUUUAUUGCAAAGAACAAAAGAACAAAGCUUCCACAGUGUGGAAGGGGACCCCAGCGGGUUGCCACUGCUGGCUCGGGCAGCCUGCUUUUAUUCUCUUACCUGGCCCCACCCACAUCCUGCUGAUUGGUCCAUUUUAAAGAGAGCCUGAGUGGUCUGUUUUGACAGGGCGCUGAUUGGCGCGUUUACAAUCCCUGAGCUAGACACAAAGGCUCCCCACGACCCCACUAGAUUAGCUAGAUACAGAGUGUCCACACAAAGGUUCUCCAAGUCCCCACCAUAAUGGCUAGAUACAGAGUGUCAAUUGUUGCAUUCACAAACCCUGAGCUAGACACAGGGUGCUGAUUGGUGUGUUUACAAACCUUGAGCUAGGUACAGAGUGCUGAUUGGUGUAUCUACAUUCCCUUAGCUAGACAUAAAGGUUCUACAAGUCCCCAUCAGACUCAGGAGCACAGCUGGCUACACCCAGUGGAUCCCGCACAGGAGCCGCAGGUGGAGCUGCCUGCCAGUCCCUCUCCGUGCGCCCACACUCUUCAGCCCUUGGGUUGUCGAUGGGACUGAGUGCAAUGGAGCAGGGGGCGGUGCUCCUUGGGGAGGCUCGGGCCACACAGGAUCCCAAGGAGGGGGGAGGCUAAGGAAUGAUGUGCUGCAGGUCCCGAGCCCUGCCCCGAGGGGAGCCAUCUAAGGCCCGGUGAGAAGUUGAGCAGAGCAGCUGCUGGCCGAGGUGCUAAGCCCUUCACUGCCCGGGCCGGCAAGGCCGGCCGGCAGCUCCUAGUGCGGGUCUGCCAAGCCCAUGCCCACCUGGAGCUCCAGCCGGCAGGCAAGCAGCGCGCGUAGCCCCGGUUCCGGCUCACGUCUCUCUCUCCACACCUCCCUGCAAGCUGAGGCAGCCAGCUCCGACCUUGGCCAGCCCAGAAAGGGGCUCCCACCGUGCAGCCGCGGGCUGAAGGGCUCCUCAAGUGCCGCCAAAGUGGGAGCCCAGGCAGAGGAGGCACCGAGCACGAGCGAGGGCUGUGAGGGCUGCCAACAUGCUGUCACCUCUCAUAAGGAGUGAGUAAUCUGAGCUUCUCCAGAAAGUCCAUUCCUGGUAGGCAUUGGGAAUAAGAAAUCUCAGAGUAUAAAUAAACAUCAAGUGGUAACACUUUUGUGAAUGGCUCCCAAAUUAGAUCUUAUUUUUUUUUUUUUCAUGAAGCACAGUUGCCCAAAACACGCUUAGCCUGAGAUGAAGCACAUAUUAGAGAAAGGUUCUCUCUAUAGCAUUAUGUAUUACUCGAAUGAGCAUUAAAAAGAGGAGACGGGACAUGCUCUCUCUAGCUAUUAUUACCUGCACUAUAGAGUUGACAUACACAAGCUCAUUAUUGCAUUAUGUUUUAUUCAACAAAAUAACUUUAAUGUUGAAGCUUAAAUUGAAUUCGCUAAAACAUCUUUGUCUCCAGCAUAGUGUGUCUCAAGUGUUUCCUUGGUGCCUGAAUUUUCUCCGGAAUUAUAGUGCUGAAGCUAUGGAAAUGGUGAAAUUAUAUGCAAUCUGCAAAACAAUGUGGCUAUAACGUGGUAAUUGGCCUUCCACAUAAUUAAAGGAACAUUUCCUCAUCAGAGCUGUUCCAUCAGAGACCCAAAGGCUAUCGUUGUACAAAUCACCCACUUAGGAAAACCUUUAUUCCCAGUAGCCUAUAAAAAUCUGCUUAUGCAAACAGAUUUGCUCAUUCAGUAACUUUAAUGGCUUCUCAUA